GUGGGGAAUUUUGGACAAUGGGCGCAAGCCUGAUCCAGCAAUGCCGCGUGCAGGAAGAAGGCCUUUUGGUUGUAAAGCACUUUAAGCGAGGAGGAGGCUACCGAGAUUAAUACUCUUGGAUAGUGGACGUUACUCGCAGAAUAAGCACCGGCUAACUCUGUGCCAGCAGCCGCGGUAAUACAGAGGGUGCAAGCGUUAAUCGGAUUUACUGGGCGUAAAGCGCGCGUAGGUGGCCAAUUAAGUCAAAUGUGAAAUCCCCGAGCUUAACUUGGGAAUUGCAUUCGAUACUGGUUGGCUAGAGUAUGGGAGAGGAUGGUAGAAUUCCAGGUGUAGCGGUGAAAUGCGUAGAGAUCUGGAGGAAUACCGAUGGCGAAGGCAGCCAUCUGGCCUAAUACUGACACUGAGGUGCGAAAGCAUGGGGAGCAAACAGGAUUAGAAACCCCAGUAGUCC
Molecule: ribosomal RNA, 451 nt
Filed under: uncultured bacterium
Lineage: Bacteria
Description: partial 16S ribosomal RNA
Rfam family: Bacterial small subunit ribosomal RNA
Source: RNAcentral